Molecule: ribosomal RNA, 253 nt
Filed under: uncultured bacterium
Lineage: Bacteria
Description: partial 16S ribosomal RNA
Rfam family: Bacterial small subunit ribosomal RNA
Source: RNAcentral
UACAGAGGUCUCAAGCGUUGUUCGGAUUCAUUGGGCGUAAAGGGUGCGUAGGUGGCGGGGUAAGUCAGACGUGAAAUCCCUCGGCUUAACCGGGGAACUGCGUCUGAUACUGGAUGGCUUGAGUUUGGGAGAGGGAUGCGGAAUUCCAGGUGUAGCGGUGAAAUGCGUAGAUAUCUGGAGGAACACCGGUGGCGAAGGCGGCAUCCUGGACCAACACUGACACUGAGGAGCGAAAGCCAGGGGAGCAAACGGG